Molecule: long non-coding RNA, 1236 nt
Organism: Syngnathoides biaculeatus (alligator pipefish)
Lineage: Eukaryota; Metazoa; Chordata; Actinopteri; Syngnathiformes; Syngnathidae
Exons: 5
Source: RefSeq, a predicted model, not a curated record
CCAACCAAUCGCUCGUCUUUUUUUUUCCGUCGGUGGAUUCCCAGCCUGCAAAUUUCCUCCAAAAAGGUCAACAUCCUGUUUCGCGGGUUGGGUGGUGCCAGUGCGACUGGGCUGCUCUUCCCAUUGGCUACUAGCACCUUCCUGGCAUCCCAUUGGCUCGUCAAUCUUUACCCACGAUGCUUUGCGUUCCCCUCUGACACUCGUCACCUGGCGCUUUCACAAGCUAGCACAAAGGCAAACUUUUCAACUUUUUCGUGAGUUUUCCCGUUUGCCUUUUGCAAGUUUAUUCAUCUUUCUUCAACAUGGGCCCAAGAAAACUUUAGUGGACUGAAAUUCAAGUUUGUUUUCGCUCGGCUGUCGAAGUUUGCCUCCUCCUCCGUCCCCCGUGACGCCACUUCUCAUAGUCGCCAAAUGCCAAAGAAGAUCGUUGUUUUUGUCCAGGAAUCCUGAAAGUUUGAAUCAGAUCAUUUGAAAACGUCAAAGUCGGCGACGGCGGCGGACGCCCGACGGAGUACGGCCGCUUCUUCUCCCACCCUCAACGCGGUACGUGACUUCCCCGGCGUAGUGCAGCAGGCGAAAUUCUCCCCUCCGCAGCGUCCUCCUCGUCUUCUGGUCGGCGAGUUUGUGCCUGCGAAAGUCGGCGGGCGUCAGCGCCGGCGGCGGGAGCCACGAGACCCCCCCGGGAUUGCGCAACCCUUACGUGACGAAGUGGGGGUGGCCCCCGACGGUCUCCUCCAUUUUUUCCAGAAGGGUGACGUCCGUGGCCUUCCCGGGACGUAAACGUUCCUCAUCCUGCGCAACGGGACAGGUCGCAGAUGAUUUUGUUGUUGAAAUACGGCACCGGCUCCCACUGCGGAUCGGAACCGCGACGUACGCGUACUCUCACUCGGGUUGCCGAAGCAGAGUGGCCACAACGCUGGCCCAGCCAGCGGAGCAGAUCCUCCUCGCCGCCCUCCACCAGCUGGUAGAAGAUGUGGAAGUUGCGCUCGCCGUGGUUCUGAUGGACCACGCGGGACUUCUCCAGCAGGUAACUGAGGAUGUGGCCGCCGACCGCCCCGCCCUGGGAGACCGUCGCCGCUCAGUCCGCGUCCGCAAAGGCGUCAAUCAUCAACGGAUUUGAGGCGGUACAGUCGGUACCUGGUGAUCAAACUGGAUGUCCAUGUACUUCCCAAAGCGACUGGAGUUGUCGUUCUUCAGCGUUUUGGCAUUUCCGAAGGCCUGCACGACAUCCAGUUC